Molecule: ribosomal RNA, 654 nt
Filed under: uncultured archaeon
Lineage: Archaea
Description: bacterial SSU rRNA
Rfam family: Archaeal small subunit ribosomal RNA
Source: RNAcentral
GCCUAAAGCGUCCGUAGCCGGCUUUGUAAGUUUUCGGUUAAAUCCAUAUGCUCAACAUAUGGGCUGCCGGGAAUACUGCACAGCUAGGGAGUGGGAGAGGUAGACGGUACUCCAUAGGAAGGGGUAAAAUCCUUUGAUCUAUGGAAGACCACCAGUGGCGAAGGCGGUCUACCAGAACACGUUCGACGGUGAGGGAUGAAAGCUGGGGGAGCAAACCGGAUUAGAUACCCGGGUAGUCCCAGCUGUAAACUAUGCAAACUCGGUGAUGCAUUGGCUUGUGGCCAAUGCAGUGCCGCAGGGAAGCCGUUAAGUUUGCCGCCUGGGAAGUACGUACGCAAGUAUGAAACUUAAAGGAAUUGGCGGGGGAGCACCACAAGGGGUGAAGCCUGCGGUUCAAUUGGAGUCAACGCCAGAAAUCUUACCUGGGGAGACAGCAGAAUGAAGGUCAAACUGAAGACUUUACCAGACAAGCUGAGAGGUGGUGCAUGGCCGUCGUCAGCUCGUGCCGUGAGAUGUCCUGUUAAGUCAGGUAACGAGCGAGAUCCCUGCUGCUAGUUGCUACCAUUACUCUCCGGAGUAGUGGGGCGAAUUAGCGGGACCGCCGCAGUUAAUGUGGAGGAAGGAGGGGGCCACGGCAGGUCAGUAUGCCCCGAA